This is a long non-coding RNA of Alligator mississippiensis (American alligator), 3387 nucleotides long. RefSeq lists it as uncharacterized. Lineage: Eukaryota; Metazoa; Chordata; Crocodylia; Alligatoridae. The record is from RefSeq and is a predicted model, not a curated record. The transcript has 6 exons.
UUUAGUUCCACCUGUGGUUAAUUUGCUACUUUUCAGAUGCUGUCUCAGGGCUAGAAGUCAUAGUUUGAAGAGUGUUUGGUCUUCAUGGAAGUGAAUAAGUAUUUAUCUGGGUUGAAGAACUUUAGGCAGCAGGGUUUUUUGCAAUCUGUGGUAGUGAUGACCACACUCAAACACCCAAGAGCCCCAUCGGCCCCCAAGAGGAGGGGGCGGGGAACACCACAAGACCAGCAGGACUUACCUGCAAAGGAGAGUGAGCCCAGACAGACCCAGGGGCUUUCAGAAGAGGAAAGUAUCACUCUGUAGUUCUGGAUUCAGAUAGCAGUCUUCUUCAGCUGGUUUUGACUCUGCUCUUGGAUUUCACCCUGUGGACUGCCCCUCAGAUUGGUAUUCAGCAUCUGAUUCCUGGAUCCUGACCCUGGACUGUGUUGUGGACUCUGCCCCUAGACUUCCCUCUGGAUUUGGCUUGGAGCUCUGGCUAGAGAGGCACUAGGCAGUGCUGGACACUGGGCCAGGGACCUACAGCCAGAGCUGGCAUCCUUUCCACUGUCCCCUGUUUAGCCCAAGAAACAAGAGCCCAGGAGCAGCUAUAGAUGACACUCAAGCUUGGGAGCAAGGAGUAAGCAUGAAGGGCGGAAGAAGCUAGAUCCCAAGCCAACACCAGGGGCAAGAAACCAAACCUCAACCCUCUACCAGAAGAGCCAGAGACUCUAGACCAGCGGUUCCCAAACUCAAAUGGAAAACCAGGAUCCCUGUUUAUUGCAACCCCAUCUGCUGAUGUUGUGAUCCCAUUUGCGACUGUGACACAGUUUGGGAGCUGCUGCUGUAAGGCCUUGAGUUGUGAUCUCCCAGAAAGGCAUUGUGUUUUCUUUUGGGGUUGUGGGAAGUCUUGAAUGGCUUGUAACUUCAUAGCUGUCUUCUGUGUUGUAGGUAACAUUUGGUAUAAAACUGUCUUUAAAAAAAAGAGAGAGAGAGAGAGAUGCCAUCUGGCUCAGUAAUCAAUGACCCACAACAGAUGACAAAUACUGCCCUAGGGCCAGUGGUUCUCACUGGGGUGCCGCAAGAGCCUUCCAGGGUGUUAUGGUGCAGGCAUUGCCCCCCCCCCAGUAGAAACCACCCUAUGUGCCCCAUGCAAAGCCAGAUCAGGAAGCAGGUACAGCAGGAGCAGGCACUCUCCUCAACAUUAGAUUUAUCUGAUAAACCAGUAAGAAAAUCAUAUGGCUUCACACAAAGCAUGCAGUGAAGAACCACAUGGCCAUGGAGAUGGUGGCAUGAUUCUGGUUGAGAAUCGUUGAGGUAAGUGGAGGCAGCACAACAAUGGUUCUUAACUGGGGAGAUGCUAUGUUCAGAAAAACGUUACAUAGCCGGGUACUGCUACAUUCAGUUAUGGAGAGCUGCCUUGAAUCUAAAAAUGUUGCGAACCACUGCCCUAGGCCAACUGCACAGCACUGUAGCAUGGAGAAAGACAGGCUGCUCCCUGAUCUUCAUGUAAAUGUCUGAUCUCCACUAUCCCAGAAGCCCUGCAGCCAUGGAUGGAUCUAGGAUUUUGAAAGUGGGGGGUGUUGAUGGUGUGGUGCAUUAUCAUCAAGUAUAACAAAACACACAAUUUUUCUCUGUUAGAAAGUAGAAACUUCACAAAUAAGUUAGGGGCUUAGAGCUAUAUUAUGACAUUUAAAAUUGAAGCAAAAAAACAACUGUUGGAAUGUGCAUUCAUUUCUUGUAUAAAAAUGCAAAAAUAAUCAAAAUAUAUUGUGUCAUUAGUUCUGUAGUAAUUAUAGUUAAAUGUAUGUCUCUUUUAGAAUCAUAAAACAAAAUCUAGUCUCUUGAGUAUCUUGACAGUGCAUCCAAUGCUUCAUGGAAAGUUUUUUUCCACUCCUGGGCUAUUGUUUACCUGAGUUAACAUUUCCACAUCUGAGUUAAUGUUCCUAACUAGAAUUUAAAAAGUGUGCAGGGCUUUGAAAUGGGAGUUACUUUACUAGGAGCAGCUAGCAGACAGCAGCAUUGCAAAAGAAAGGAUAGCUUGAGUAGUGGAACCAUUAAAGAUUAUAAAAAAGGGAAAGAUGGUCAUUAAUGCCUCUGUAGUGAAGAGUUUAAAAGGAAUCAGGUAGACUACAAUGAGCCACGAAGUCAACUGACUCCCUCACUGUUGCCUGAACAGAAGUACAGCUGCCUCCAUCAGGCAGUUGACUUUAAACUUUGGAUGGAUCAGGAAUCAAAUGCACUGCAUGCCCCCUGCCCCCACCAUUGGAUCUGCCCCUGCCUGCAGCAGGAGGUGUUUCAGGCCUUGUAACUGUGUUCUGUCAAGCAUUCUACAUGACGCUUAUUCAGCUGUACAGUCAGUGUCCAAUCAUGGGACUGAAUUUUACUAUGAGAAACCCUAAGACAUUUUGAUGCAUGCUUGCUUGUUACUUAUUUAUUUCUAGUAUAACUUGACAAAGCACAGGGACAGCUUGUUUUCAUUUGACUCUCAGUGAGUCACUGGGCAGCGUGAACAUAAAGCAGCUGAAAUAGGAUGCAUCAGCAAAGUACCAUCCCUCCAAAAGGAGACGGGCAUUAGCAUGAAUUCAGUUACUCCUACCAUCUUCCUUGUGCAUCCUUACUAGACUUAGACUUCCUUCCAGAAUACCUGUAAACGCCCAUCACGUUCCUCCCUCUUCCCCUCUGCUUUAGUUUUAACGUCUCCCCUGAGGCACUCGUGCAGAAAACACUAACAUUGCAAGUGUUUGGAGAGAGUGAAAGGGCAGCCUUCCAGCUCAGAAAUUAUCCUCAAGUACCCAAAGUCUCAAAUGACCUUUAAAAACCAACAAAGAUCUACCUCCUUUGCAUAUGCUAUGGGAAUGGGCUUUAUGAGCCAGCAGUUCUGAGCUAUUUAAAGUACCCCUUCUAAUAAUUGUUCAUAUGCUACUGUAUACUUACACCAUGCUAGCUUCAGGCACUACUAAGGGAGAACUGGACCUUUUUUGCUCAGCCUAGCAGCCUGAAAGGUCAUGGACAAGCUGGGGGGAGGACAUGAAUAAGCUGUGAAAUAUUAGGGCAUUUUUAAUUACACUUAGGCUUUUCUAAGCCUCCUGCCAGUGUCAGUUUGCUCCAGUGUUUGCAGGCAGUACCACUGCCAGUUGCAUGGGAAUCUAACAGCAGGGGCUGUCCACCAGCUAAAAUGUGUUGGAUUCUAAAAUGAUUAUCAAGAAUGUCAUCAUCAAAUUAAUUAUCAGAGGCCAGAUAAUUAGCUGGUAUAAACUGCCAGUGCUCCACUGAUACAAGAUGGGGAUCUUCAUAUCCUAUGGGGCUUUCAUUUGUUUUUUUUGCAAAGUAUUACAGCAAGGCACAGAUUCAGUUGAAUGAUCUCUGGCUCCUGAUGAGCAUCACUGAUGAUGUCCCUUACUAGCAGGC